AUUUAAUACUGUCUGAUUGGGUGUAGGAAAAUGCCUGCCUAAAACAACUAUUUUCCAUUUGGCAUAAGGUUGGGCUGUUCACUCCGACAAUUAUUUGCCAUUGGAUUAACUCUCUAGUAAAACAGAUCAUGUCUCCUGAGUGUAAAGCAAACGCCAUGAUAAUAGCACUGGUUUCCUGUUUACUGUGGCAGAAAGGCGUGGGCCAAAUGCAUCUAGAAAGUCAUCAAUUGUUUGCAAGUUAAAGGGAAGAAAGUUGCAAAAAGAGAGAGAGCUAGGGAAGUGGGAGGCUGAGGACCCAGCCACACAGCCAGGGCUUUUUGAAUCUGGGUGAUGGUGUACCUGGACUCCCCUUGCUCUAUUCUCUCUGCUUUUAUGUGUUUGAAAACACCCAUAUUUUUUCUUUAAAAAAAAAAAAAAAAUUAAGCCUAAGAGCAUUGCAACUGAUACUGCAAGAUCCUGGCUAUGAAAAGUGAUUUGAACAGGAUGGUAAAGCAGGACCCAGGGGUUACCAACUAUUUGCUGCCGCCAUGUGACUCAUCAGCUCCAGGAGGCUCCCAGCAGCUUUCUUGAGCUUACACACUGGCCUUGUCUCAGUCCUGGCUGAAGGCACCCGAGGACCCAGUGGACUUUGAAUGCUUCUAGAAGCAUCUCAAACAAUGAGCUGUUUGUUCUCAUCUGUGGCUAGGCCUUGGAGAGCUGGUCUCAACUCCCCUCAAUGCUUGCAACAAGCAACUCCGACUCUCCAUGGAGGCCUGCCGAAGCUUCAGAAUCCAGAGGAGUGGCCCACAGAGAAGGAGUGUGGAGCAGCAGAGCCGGAAACAACAGAGGCUUCAAGGGCUGGAGGUAAAUGGUUGCAACCUGGGGGCUUUGGCAGCACUUGUUGGUAAACUGUUGUGACCUGGGAGUGAGAAGCUCCGUAGAAGUGGGUGAACUCUGGGCAGCCUCCUCUUGCAGAGCCUGAAGCAGAGCCCGGAGUCUGGGUUCUCUGAUACAAUCUCAGGCCUACGGAUUAGCCCAAGGAGGGAGUGUGGCAGGCAGCUACGAGGGCAGGCAACUAAGAGGGAAGUUCUGAUCUGACCCCUCUGAACUCAGCAACCCUUGCUCCCGAGCAGCAGCCAGCUUCGCUCAUCCUCCCUUUGAAGAAAGCAGAAAAAGAAAGUGCUUUGAUUUUCCUAAAACAAACACUAUGUUGAGUAAAGAGAUAAGCCCAGCCUUGGGUUGGCUCAGGCUCCCCUGUGCAAGGGAAGUCACACUUCAUAUUUCCAACAUGAAAGCCCAAGAAGGGCUGGGCUUAGUGCUGGCUGAAAGCUGGAGAGGCCACCAGCCCCACUUUGCUUCUGCAGAGAGGCCUAUUAGGCCAAGGGGAAGUCUGCUGUGAUCCAGCAAUGGUGGUAACUAAGGGCACAUUUCUCUGGCCGCUGGGCCUGAAGAUCCAGAGCCAACAAGAUCCAUCAAGGAAAGAGCCAGCUCUGUCCAACAGGGACCUUGGUGGCUAGUGGUCAAGGAGGGACCACCUCCCAACCCUGGGGGGUUGGAAAAGGGACCUUGUUGGGAGAGGGACAUUUUCCAUGGAGAAUUUGCCUGAGUGACACAAGAUGGGAGAGACGGGGAGCAACAUUUGUGGCCCCAGGGCAACAGGAGGACUCCCCGUCCUUCCAUACCAAAGUGCUCCCAACUGCUCUCUGCAUUCACAGUUCCAUGCGUUCUUGGGGUGAUAGUAAGAACAGCCAGGCACUCAGUGUUCUAAGUGCUUUUCACAUGUUAUCUCACUUAGCCUCACUUAAUUUGUUCACUCAGCAAACCUAGCAGGCAGGUACUAUCAUCAUCUCCAUUUACAGAUAAGGACACCAAAGCACAGGGAGCAGCAACAAUUGCCAAGGUCACACC
Molecule: long non-coding RNA, 1887 nt
Filed under: Vulpes vulpes (red fox)
Lineage: Eukaryota; Metazoa; Chordata; Mammalia; Carnivora; Canidae
Description: lncRNA (ENSVVUG00000019812.1)
Source: RNAcentral